RNAcentral lists this ribosomal RNA (464 nucleotides) under uncultured bacterium. RNAcentral's name for it is "partial 16S ribosomal RNA". It matches the Rfam family "Bacterial small subunit ribosomal RNA", at positions 29 to 507 of the family's 1533-position model. The record is from RNAcentral.
ACGCACGCUGGCGGCGUGCUUCACCCAUGCCAUUCGAACGGAAAGGCCCUGCUUGCAGGGUACUCGAGUGGCGAACGGGUGAGUAACACGUUGGUGAUCUGCCCUGCACUUCGGGAUAAGCCUGGGAAACUGGGUCUAAUACCGGAUAGGAGCCAUUUUUAGUGUGAUGGUUGGAAAGUUUUUUCGGUGUAGGAUGAGCUCGCGGCCUAUCAGCUUGUUGGUGGGGUAAUGGCCUACCAAGGCGGCGACGGGUAGCCGGCCUGAGAGGGUGGACGGCCACAUUGGGACUGAGAUACGGCCCAGACUCCUACGGGAGGCAGCAGUGGGGAAUAGUGAACAAUGGGCGCAAGCCUGAUGCAGCGACGCCGCGUGGGGGAUGACGGCCUUCGGGUUGUAAACUCCUUUCGCUAGGGACGAAGCUUUUUGUGACGGUACCUAGAUAAGAAGCACCGGCUAACUACGUG